CAAUGCCUACGGGACGCAGCAGUGAGGAAUAUUGGUCAAUGGGCGCGAGCCUGAACCAGCCAAGUCGCGUGAGGGAUGACGGCCCUACGGGUUGUAAACCUCUUUUGUCGGGGAGCAAAUUCCGUUACGUGUAACGGAGUCGAGAGUACCCGAAGAAAAAGCAUCGGCUAACUCCGUGCCAGCAGCCGCGGUAAUACGGAGGAUGCGAGCGUUAUCCGGAUUUAUUGGGUUUAAAGGGUGCGUAGGCGGGCUUUUAAGUCAGCGGUAAAAAUUCGGGGCUCAACCCCGUCCGGCCGUUGAAACUG
Molecule: ribosomal RNA, 305 nt
Filed under: uncultured bacterium
Lineage: Bacteria
Description: bacterial SSU rRNA
Rfam family: Bacterial small subunit ribosomal RNA
Source: RNAcentral